RNAcentral lists this ribosomal RNA (497 nucleotides) under uncultured bacterium. RNAcentral's name for it is "partial 16S ribosomal RNA". It matches the Rfam family "Bacterial small subunit ribosomal RNA", at positions 28 to 507 of the family's 1533-position model. The record is from RNAcentral.
GACGAACGCUGGCGGCGUGCCUAAUACAUGCAAGUUGAGCGCUGAAGGUUGGUACUUGUACCAACUGGAUGAGCAGCGAACGGGUGAGUAACGCGUGGGGAAUCUGCCUUUGAGCGGGGGACAACAUUUGGAAACGAAUGCUAAUGCCGCAUAAAAACUUUAAACACAAGUUUUAAGUUUGAAAGAUGCAAUUGCAUCACUCAAAGAUGAUCCCGCGUUGUAUUAGCUAGUUGGUGAGGUAAAGGCUCACCAAGGCGAUGAUACAUAGCCGACCUGAGAGGGUGAUCGGCCACAUUGGGACUGAGACACGGCCCAAACUCCUACGGGAGGCAGCAGUAGGGAAUCUUCGGCAAUGGACGAAAGUCUGACCGAGCAACGCCGCGUGAGCGAAGAAGGUUUUCGGAUCGUAAAACUCUGUUGGUAGAGAAGAACGUUGGUGAGAGUGGAAAGCUCAUCAAGUGACGGUAACUACCCAGAAAGGGACGGCUAACUACGUG